RNAcentral lists this ribosomal RNA (1237 nucleotides) under metagenome. RNAcentral's name for it is "bacterial LSU rRNA". It matches the Rfam family "Bacterial large subunit ribosomal RNA", at positions 1564 to 2808 of the family's 2925-position model. The record is from RNAcentral.
UGAGUACGAGACGCUAAGGCGUUGAAGCAGUCUAUGUCAGACUUCCAAGAAAAGCUCGCAAUGUCAUAAGCAAAAAAUGCCUGUACCAUAACCGACACAGGUGGGUAGGUAGAGUAUACUAAGGGGCGCGAGAUAACUCUCUCUAAGGAACUCGGCAAAAUGACUCCGUAACUUCGGGAGAAGGAGUGCCUUAUUUUUAUAAGGUUGCAAUAACAAGAUCCAAGCAACUGUUUACCAAAAACACAGGUCUCCGCUAAGUCGUAAGACGAUGUAUGGGGGCUGACGCCUGCCCAGUGCCAGAAGGUUAAAGAAGUUGGUUAGUUUCGGCGAAGCUGAUGACUGAAGCCCUGGUGAACGGCGGCCGUAACUAUAACGGUCCUAAGGUAGCGAAAUUCCUUGUCGGGUAAGUUCCGACCCGCACGAAAGGCGUAAUGAUUUGGAUACUGUCUCGGAGAGGGGCUCGGUGAAAUAGACUUGUCUGUGAAGAUGCGGACUACCUGCACCUGGACAGAAAGACCCUAUGAAGCUUUACUGUAACUUGAGAUUGAAAUUGGACUUUAUUUGCGCAGUAUAGGUGGGAGACGUUGAGAAUAUUCUUGCGGGAAUAUUGGAGUCAUCAGUGAGAUACCACUCUUGUAAUGUUAGAUUUCUAACUUUGUAUCAUGAUCUGGUCAAAGGACAGUUUCAGGCGGGCAGUUUGACUGGGGCGGUCGCCUCCCAAACGGUAACGGAGGCGCACAAAGGUUUCCUCUGAACGUGUAGAAAUCGUAUCUAGAGUGUAAAGGCAUAAGGAAGCUUGACUGUGAGACCUACAAGUCGAGCAGGGACGAAAGUCGGUCUUAGUGAUCUGACGGUGCUGAGUGGAAAGGCCGUCACUCAACGGAUAAAAGUUACUCUAGGGAUAACAGGCAGAUCUCCCCCAAGAGUUCACAUCGACGGGGAGGUUCGGCACCUCGAUGUCGGCUCAUCGCAUCCUGGGGCGGUAGUACGUCCCAAGGGUUGGGCUGUUCGCCCAUGAAAGCGGUACGCGAGCUGGGUUCAGAACGUCGUGAGACAGUUCGGUCCAUAUCCGGUGUAGGCGUUAGAAUAUUGAGAGGAGCCUUCUUUAGUACGAGAGGACCGAGAAGGACAUACCUCUGGUGUACCAGUUAUCGUGCCAACGGUAAACGCUGGGUAGCUAUGUAUGGAGUGGAUAACCGCUGAAAGCAUCUAAGUGGGAAGCCCACCUCAAGAUAAG